CAUUCUCCUUGCUAUUUAUGGAAUAUCACGUAAAUUGGUGACAUACGAGACGAUCUCGGACCACGACGACAGUACGAAUUUAUCUGCGGAAGGACAGACGGUGAAUGGAGCUCGUUAACUAUCUGCAGAAAAGCAUUUCAUGGGAUUUAUAAAAGCGUCGCAUUGCACAUUCCUGAGAACCAGGUAUUUCGCUGGAGCUUUGAAGCCCGAGAAUGGCUUGACCGUUAAUCAAGGGACUUUAAUUAGGCGACCCAAAACUCUACGGAGAAGUAACCAGAUGAACUCACUGAACAUUCCAAAGAACUAGCAAACGUCUGUAAUACCAGCUCGUAGAAGAAAAUUUUGUUCCAACGCCGAAGUUCGUGAAUUUUCUUCCCUAUUUCCUGGUUUUUCGACAGUUUCAAGUGACAGUUUUGUCAAGAAAUUUGAAAUGAAUCGCAGCGUCGAAUUUAGGGUGUUGGGUUCACGCACCUGUGCUUUCGCAACAUUUCUCGCUGCUUGUUCUCGUUGCUUCCUUCAACCUCGACGAAGACCACGGCGCCGACGACGCUGUAGAGGAAGACUAUAAGGAACAGGAAAAUGUGGGUGAACCAUCUUUUACUCCAGGAGCUGACCUGCGAACGUGACACAAAAUUCGAUGAAGCUACAAACGAAGCAAUGGCAAAAACCUUUGUGCUAGAGAAAAGGGUUCGCGAACGAGUUGAAGAAACGAAAAAGACGUCCAAAUAUUUUCAUCAAGUUGAUUCUUGUGUCAAGAUUGUGAAGAAAUUUGGAGAUGUUUAUAUUGUAUCAGGGCAACAUUUUAUGAGUAAGUACUUGAAAUUAAAAUUUACACAAAUAUUAUGCGAGCCUUUCGAAUAUUUUAUUGGAAAAUCCAUGUGAAUCCAACCAACGUUCGAACCUCACCACCUUUGAUGUUUUUCAAAAAUUUUUUGAAUGAUUAUUUAUAAAUAUUGCG
Long non-coding RNA from Neodiprion virginianus, 958 nucleotides. RefSeq lists it as uncharacterized. Lineage: Eukaryota; Metazoa; Arthropoda; Insecta; Hymenoptera; Diprionidae. The record is from RefSeq and is a predicted model, not a curated record. The transcript has 3 exons.